Phragmites australis (common reed) is the source of this 3484-nucleotide RNA transcript. RefSeq lists it as uncharacterized. The record is from RefSeq and is a predicted model, not a curated record. Lineage: Eukaryota; Viridiplantae; Streptophyta; Magnoliopsida; Poales; Poaceae. The transcript is spliced from 11 exons.
CAGCGGCCCAGUCGUGGAGUCCCCAAGCCCAACGAGAAACCUAGCGAGUAGCGACAAGCCACGAAGCCAUUGCAGCUCCACCUCCGCUGCUCCCUCAGACCCUCACCCAUUCGCCGCCGCCGCCAGUCGCCCGCCACGCAGCAAGCCAUCAAACGAGCAUCGCCGAACCGGUCGCCGGUUUGAAUCCGCCGAGGCGUCGUCCGUUGUCUUGAUUCCAUCCACGCCGACGACCGCAACUCGUUUGGAUUCGGCUGCUCCGUAGCCGCCGCGAGCCCGCGAAGUCGCGAACCUCCUCCAGUCCUCCUUCGCCCUACCACCGAAGAACAAUAACGCCAGCCGGCCAGCCACGUCGAGCCGUCGAUUGGAUUCGUGUCUGGAUCUGGAACUCUGGAUUCGCGUCGUUCGUCCUUGGUCUGGAUUCGUGUCGAUUGGAGCCCGUGAACCUCCUCCUUGGUUGCGAAGCUUUUCUCUUGCCCUUGAACUUGGCUCAUAUUUACCUGCUUUUGCCAUUGCACCUAAACCCCAUCCCAACCAGCUCACUCGCGCAAGGGUUUGGAGAUUUGUGCGUCGUCGGGUAACCGCGCAGCCGCUCGUCGCCCCUCUCCACAUGGAGAACCCUCUCGACGCCAGGAAUCGACGCCACCCCAGCCACCUUGUUACCGUGGCUGCUCUAACGCGUCCACUCCUUUUGCCGGAUCCAGAUGGGAAGCCACCGCCUCUAGACGUCCGCUCCUCGUUCCCUGUCGCCGUUUGCCAUUCCCUGCCGGUUUUCAUCCACGCCUGAGGCCGCCCCUCGGAGCUUAUCGCCAACGUUGGCCACAACACUGGCAAAAUUACGCUCCUCCAACCAUGGAUCCGAGAUCGCAGCAUUUGUUUGGUGGUGCAGGCCGAGAGAUUGGUGGAACUCCAGAAAUGGAGGGAGGCCGGAAGGCAGCAGUGGUGGACUUCUCUGUCACAGAUGCCAAGGUGGUCUGCAAUCUUGUGCGACGGAACGAAUCCGUGGUCAGGAAGAAGCGGAGAUAUCUGCUGUCAAUGUCUCCCGGACCAGAUGGUCACAUCAAGCACGUGAAGCGGCCCAAAUUCAUGAAAGAAGUAUACGUGGCUGAGUCAUAUGUCAGGGGGGAUGAGCUAUCUUGCGAGAGAGUAAGAACCCAUGUUGAAAGAUGUUUUGGUUUGGAUCGCAAUGGCUGCAAUCACCACAUAGUUCAGGAUGGUAUACAGCUUUUUAACCUGCAAAAAGAAGAGGAUGGCUCUCUUACUCCGAACAGUUUGAAGAUCAUGCACCGUACAAUCAACAAGCUAAGCCUUGAAGCACUUCAUUCAGUUGCUUGUAUUGUCACCCAUAAUAGGAUUAGUUUUGAGAAGACUGGGCCAAGAAUGAAAAAUAUCAUAAAGGACCACCUCCGAGCUUACUUGUCCCGAUUAGAUAAUGAAGACAGCAACUCUCAGUUGUCCCAGAUUUUAACUAAUCUGUCCAGUUAUCAGUCUGAUUGCGUGACCAUUGCAACACCUGUUACACCAAGACUGUUGACAUCAUUAAACCAAGCUUUAGCUGGACUCAAGGCAUUGCCCAUGCAAGCUCUUGUUGCAAUGAAUAGGAAGCUUAGAGAAGAAUCAUGUCCCCCAAGAUUUGGGAAUGAAGGUCGAGCUGCCACAAGCUGGCAUAUUGCUGAAGUGAUAAAGAAAAGGUGUGAUAAGAUCAUAUCAAAGCUUGGGGAAGGUAUUGACCUGCCAAAGCAUUUAGCAAAAGCAAUGUCAGUGGUGAACCUAUGUCGGAAGGAAGAUUUGAGAUGCAUGGAUAUUUCACAUUCGGAGUUCUUUCCAUUUUCAAAGCAGGUUAUCUCCUUGCAGAAUGAUGUCCUGAAUGCUCUGUGGUCACUUGAAGAAAUGAAGCAUGAUAAGCUGAAACUGCUCCGUCCAAUAUUGCAUCAAAGCUUGAAAGAUAAGAGAAAGAACAGGAGGUUCAGUAUAGAUGUGAGACAUUAUUUGGUAGAAUGUUUGUUUGAAUGUGAUGAAGGUAAUUUACCAGAUAAGGCACUGCAAGUCAUUGCUUUUUUCCAUCGCAUGUCUCGCAAUCAAGCUAUGCCCACGGAAGAGACAAAGGAAGCAGAGAUAGAGGCUGUCUUGAAUUUAAGCAGUCAGCUCAGAGCUGUAACAUGUUAUGAUGCAGCAGGAGACCCCAUUGAUGAUCUGUUAAUGAAGUCAUGGAGUGCAUGCCCAAGUGAUGAUCACCUUAUAAACUUAGAUAGUGAAGACUGCAGCAAGGAUAAUGACUUCAUACUCACAGAGACCAAUUACUUCAAUUUUGGUUCUCAGCAGAAUGUGGAUGAGCCCUGUAGUUCCAAUAGCUUGCCUAAUGCUGCUGAUAUGAGUGGACAAUAUUCAAGUGGAACUAUAGGUGGUGCACAUUGUGUUCCCAAGGCUAAAGAUUUUGAAUCCAUGUUCGAUACUCGUGGGAGAUGUCGUGGAUGGAGUGGAUACGCUGCAGGUGUGCGGCAUUUCAGAGACAGUGAAGCUGCUGGUAGCGUGACGGAGCCUCAUUUGAGUAAUAAUGUUGGUGCAAGCAAUGUGGAAACGACUAGAUGCUCUAAAGGUCGCCCUGAGAUAUGUGAUGAGACUGCAGUGGAUGCCCACAAGCUUAUCGGACUUGUUCUGGAAAACAUGUUGCUUCCAGAAAACAAGGCUGAUGAACUCACGGGACAUUGUCUUGGAGAAGGUUGUAUUUCUCAAGGUCCUCAAGCUCUUGUGGCAGAGGACAACCAAAGCGCUGACAUUGUGAUUAAUGCUGUAAAGAGCAUCUUGCCUAAUUUAUCGAAAAGCUGCAUUGAAAAAGUUAGGAGGAUACUUAAUGGUGGUGAGCAGUGAGGACAGUCUUCAGGUACAGGCUGUUGGAGAGGGUUCAAGGUAGCCUGGAGGGUUCAAUAGUACUGAUUUUUGGAGUGUGGAGUGGAGCUCAUUUAGUCAAACUUUAAAAAGUGAUCUUUCAAGUGGCAAUGCCUUUUUGGUCGUUGCUGAAUUCAUUCACUUGCAUGGUACUUCCCAACUUUAGCUUUCUAUUAAGAUCCAGGAUGUAAUACCUAAUUGUUGAAUGGCACUAGGAGGAAUUCUAAAAUUCUCAUCGAAGAUGUAUGGGCUGUGGUACUUCGGCUAUAGUGUAAAAUUGUGAAAUUUCACCCUUUGACUCGGGUUGGAUGAUCAAUCAAACGGAUAGAUAUCUGCAAAUCCAUGGAAAAAAGAUGGUUUUUUUUUUAUCAAGGUGGUUUCAUUUGAAAAAUUGGCACCUUGGAAUUUAGUACUGGUGCAUAUAUUUCUGUUUGAGAGGGAUACACAGUCAUCUGAUAAGAUAGUUGUAAAUUGAGUGCAUUGCAAGACUAAUCACGUGCCAGAUUUUCAUUUUCUUUUUCGCAGAUAUAUUGUCAUAGAUAAGAUUACUUGUUACUAACUAUGUCAGACAAAUCCUUGCAAUGGAAAUUUAAGUUGAUUA